This 441-nucleotide ribosomal RNA is filed under the name Triticum aestivum (bread wheat). Its description in RNAcentral is "partial small subunit ribosomal RNA". Lineage: Eukaryota; Viridiplantae; Streptophyta; Magnoliopsida; Poales; Poaceae. The record is from RNAcentral.
AUGCCUUGGAUUUUAAAUGGGGAUUUUAACUUGACUUGCUCGGAGUUGGAGCGUAGCUCUGGGAGAGGUAACAGGAGACUCAUGUCGAAAUUUCGACAUGCUAUUAAUAGGCUGGGAUUACAUGAUAUGCCAACAAUGGGAAGGAAGUAUACUUGGUGCAAUCAGCAAGAGCAAUCGGUGAUGGCUAGGUUGGACCGAGUGCUCUUCAACAAUGCCUGGGAGGAUAUAUACCCCAUCAGUGAUCUUCAUCCGCUCAGCUCUAAUAUUUCGGACCACUCUCCCCUGCUUCUCACUUGUUUGUCAGCUAGGCCGCGCUCUGGCCGUUUCCGGUUUGAGAAUUUCUGGUGCAAGCUUCCGGGGUUUCUGGAGGUAGUUAAGGAAGCAUGGGGACAAGAGGUCUCUAGCUGUGACCCAAUGAAGAUCUUGAGGACCAAACUUCAG